This 69-nucleotide transfer RNA is filed under the name Zingiber officinale. RNAcentral's name for it is "tRNA-Asp". The record is from RNAcentral. Lineage: Eukaryota; Viridiplantae; Streptophyta; Magnoliopsida; Zingiberales; Zingiberaceae.
GCCAUGGUGCCAUGGUAGGACAUCCAGGUUGUCUCCCAGGUAUCCGCGGUUCGAACCCCAGCUAUGGCG